CCUACGGGAGGCAGCAGUGGGGAAUAUUGGGCAAUGGGCGCAAGCCUGACCCAGCAACGCCGCGUGAAGGAAGAAGGCUUUCGGGUUGUAAACUUCUUUUGUCAGGGAAGAGUUGAAGACGGUACCUGACGAAUAAGCCACGGCUAACUACGUGCCAUCAGCCGCGGUAAUACGUAGGUGGCAAGCGUUGUCCGGAUUGACUGGGUGUAAAGGGCGUGUAGCCGGGUUGAAAAGUCAGAUGUGAAAUCCUGCGGCUUAACCGCAGAACUGCAAUUGAAACUGUUGAUCUUGAGUACUGGAGAGGCAGACGGAAUACCUAAUGUAGCGGUGAAAUGUGUAGAUAUUAGGAGGAACACCAGUGGCGAAGGCGGUCUGCUGGACAGAAACUGACGGUGAGGCGCGAAAGCGUGGGGAGCAAACAGGAUUAGAUACCCCGGUAGUC
This 442-nucleotide ribosomal RNA is filed under the name uncultured bacterium. RNAcentral describes it as "partial 16S ribosomal RNA". It matches the Rfam family "Bacterial small subunit ribosomal RNA", at positions 338 to 795 of the family's 1533-position model. The record is from RNAcentral.